Molecule: long non-coding RNA, 672 nt
Filed under: Homo sapiens (human)
Lineage: Eukaryota; Metazoa; Chordata; Mammalia; Primates; Hominidae
Description: long independently transcribed non-coding RNA 2270 (LINC02270)
Source: RNAcentral
AACGAAGAGGACACUGGGGCAUUUAACUGCCAGUGCCCAGCAGUCGUAGUUGAGUCCUGCUGAUGAAACAGAAAACCUGCAACCUGCCCUGUUUGCAGGCAGAACAGACAGUUAAAUAUAUCAGCCAAGGAACAGCAGGGGCUGGUAGCUGAAGUUUGGACAGUCGAGCCCGUAAAUGAUUUAUUCCACUCUGUUAAGCUUCCUGAAUCACAGAGAAGUUGUCAGAAAGAUUUUAGCCUCCGCUAUAGGAAGUCCUGCCCACCUUCUCCAGAUCUCUGUUCUCAUAGUCCAUCCUCUGGUUCCAGGUGGAAGAAUUCUAAAAUCACACAAGAAAAUGUAAGAUAUCUUCCUCGAAUAUCAACAGAGAAGAACAGCAGCCACGUGGAUAAGGCAGAGUUUGGGAAAUCCUGGAUUCCCUUAUCAUAAAGCAUCUUACAGUAACCUCAGAAAUGCAGAAGUUACUUGUAAUGGUGCUGUAGACACUGUACGAGAAAGUUUCACCUUUAUGAUCUAAUUUAAUUCUCACAAAAACCCUGUUAGGUAGGGUGUUAUUAUUUAAAUUUAAAUCAGAGGAAAAUGUAACAGGAAUUCUGCAACUUACAGUCAAAGAGAUAAUAAACAGGAGCAUCUGUGGUUUGAAAAAAAAAAAAAAAAAAAAAAAAAAAAAAAAAA